Molecule: ribosomal RNA, 517 nt
Filed under: uncultured bacterium
Lineage: Bacteria
Description: partial 16S ribosomal RNA
Rfam family: Bacterial small subunit ribosomal RNA
Source: RNAcentral
AACGAACGCUGGCGGCGUGGAUAAGACAUGCAAGUCGAACGGGACUUUUCGUUGUAGCAAUACGAUGGAAAGUCUAGUGGCGAACGGGUGCUUAACACGUGGGCAACCUGCCAUGAAGUGGGGGAUAGCUCGCCGAAAGGCGAAUUAAUACCGCAUGUGAUUAGAGAGGACAUCCUUUCGAAAUUAAAGUCGGGGCAACCUGACGCUUCUUGUGGGGCCCGCGGCCUAUCAGCUAGUUGGUGAGGUAACGGCUCACCAAGGCUUUGACGGGUAGCUGGUCUGAGAGGACGACCAGCCACACUGGGACUGAGACACGGCCCAGACACCUACGGGUGGCAGCAGUCGAGAAUUUUUGACAAUGGGGGAAACCCUGAUCGAGCGACGCCGCGUGGAGGAUGAAGGUCUUCGGAUUGUAAACUCCUGUCAUUGGGGAACAAUGCACAGAUAUUAACUGUAUCUGUGUUGAUAGUACCCGAAGAGGAAGAGACGGCUAACUCUGUGCCAGCCGCCGCCGUAA